GUAUUCUGACCGUGCAAAGGUAGCAUAAUCACUUGUUCUCCAAAUAAGGACUUGUAUGAAUGGCCACACGAGGGUUUUACUGUCUCUUACUUCCAAUCAGUGAAAUUGACCUUCCCGUGAAGAGGCGGGAAUAAAAAAAUAAGACGAGAAGACCCUAUGGAGCUUUAAUUAACUAUUCCAAAAGUUAAACAAUUCAACCACAAAGGGAUAAAACAUAACUUAACAUGGACUAGCAAUUUCGGUUGGGGUGACCUCGGAGUACAAAAAAACCUCCGAGUGAUUUUAAUCUAGACAAACCAGUCAAAAUAACCAUAACAUCACUUAUUGAUCCAAAAUUUUGAUCAACGGAACAAGUUACCCUAGGGAUAACAGCGCAAUCCUAUUCUAGAGUUCCUAUCGACAAUAGGGUUUACGACCUCGAUGUUGGAUCAGGACACCCAAAUGGUGCAACCGCUAUUAAAGGUUCGUUUGUUCAACGAUUAAAGUCCUACGUGAUCUG
Molecule: ribosomal RNA, 499 nt
Filed under: Sus scrofa (pig)
Lineage: Eukaryota; Metazoa; Chordata; Mammalia; Artiodactyla; Suidae
Description: partial 16S ribosomal RNA
Rfam family: Bacterial large subunit ribosomal RNA
Source: RNAcentral